This 46-nucleotide non-coding RNA is filed under the name Prunus dulcis (almond). Its description in RNAcentral is "sRNA ncRNA". It matches the Rfam family "Histone 3' UTR stem-loop". Rfam says of the family: The mRNAs of metazoan histone genes lack a poly-A tail. 3' end processing occurs at a site between a highly conserved stem-loop (modelled by this family) and a purine rich region around 20 nts downstream (the histone downstream element, or HDE). The stem-loop is bound by a 31 kDa stem-loop binding protein (SLBP - also termed the histone hairpin binding protein, or HBP). Lineage: Eukaryota; Viridiplantae; Streptophyta; Magnoliopsida; Rosales; Rosaceae. The record is from RNAcentral.
ACAACGGUUUUUAUAAAAACCACCCUAGUAUGUCGUUAAAACGAUG